RNAcentral lists this non-coding RNA (27 nucleotides) under Mus musculus (house mouse). Lineage: Eukaryota; Metazoa; Chordata; Mammalia; Rodentia; Muridae. The record is from RNAcentral.
UGUCACAGCUACAAAGGGAUGAAGUGG